Molecule: ribosomal RNA, 1487 nt
Filed under: Weissella confusa
Lineage: Bacteria; Bacillati; Bacillota; Bacilli; Lactobacillales; Lactobacillaceae
Description: bacterial SSU rRNA
Rfam family: Bacterial small subunit ribosomal RNA
Source: RNAcentral
GGGCUUAAAUUCGAAUGGAACCUUUGGUUAAAGGUUAAGAAAUUCUUCCAAUUAGGGGGGCCCUUCGAAAUGUGGGAACGGGUUGAAAACGGGGGGAAACUUCUUUUUGGAGGGGGUAACCUUUGGAACCGGGUUCUAACCCGGUUAACAAUGACAACCGCAUGGUUGUUAUUUAAAAGAUGGUUCUGCUAUCACUAAGAGAUGGUCCCGCGGUGCAUUAGCUAGUUGGUAAGGUAAUGGCUUACCAAGGCGAUGAUGCAUAGCCGAGUUGAGAGACUGAUCGGCCACAAUGGGACUGAGACACGGCCCAUACUCCUACGGGAGGCAGCAGUAGGGAAUCUUUCCACAAUGGGGGAAAGCCUGAUGGAGCAACGCCGCGGUGGUGAUGAAGGGUUUCGGCUCGUAAAACAAUGUUGUAAGAGAAGAAUGACAUUGAGAGUAACUGUUCAAUGUGUGACGGUAUCUUACCAGAAAGGAACGGCUAAAUACGUGCCAGCAGCCGCGGUAAUACGUAUGUUCCAAGCGUUAUCCGGAUUUAUUGGGCGUAAAGCGAGCGCAGACGGUUAUUUAAGUCUGAAGUGAAAGCCCUCAGCUCAACUGAGGAAUUGCUUUGGAAACUGGAUGACUUGAGUGCAGUAGAGGAAAGUGGAACUCCAUGUGUAGCGGUGAAAUGCGUAGAUAUAUGGAAGAACACCAGUGGCGAAGGCGGCUUUCUGGACUGUAACUGACGUUGAGGCUCGAAAGUGUGGGUAGCAAACAGGAUUAGAUACCCUGGUAGUCCACACCGUAAACGAUGAGUGCUAGGUGUUUGAGGGUUUCCGCCCUUAAGUGCCGCAGCUAACGCAUUAAGCACUCCGCCUGGGGAGUACGACCGCAAGGUUGAAACUCAAAGGAAUUGACGGGGACCCGCACAAGCGGUGGAGCAUGUGGUUUAAUUCGAAGCAACGCGAAGAACCUUACCAGGUCUUGACAUCCCUUGACAACUCCAGAGAUGGAGCGUUCCCUUCGGGGACAAGGUGACAGGUGGUGCAUGGUUGUCGUCAGCUCGUGUCGUGAGAUGUUGGGUUAAGUCCCGCAACGAGCGCAACCCUUAUUACUAGUUGCCAGCAUUCAGUUGGGCACUCUAGUGAGACUGCCGGUGACAAACCGGAGGAAGGUGGGGAUGACGUCAAAUCAUCAUGCCCCUUAUGACCUGGGCUACACACGUGCUACAAUGGCGUAUACAACGAGUUGCCAACCCGCGAGGGUGAGCUAAUCUCUUAAAGUACGUCUCAGUUCGGAUUGUAGGCUGCAACUCGCCUACAUGAAGUCGGAAUCGCUAGUAAUCGCGGAUCAGCACGCCGCGGUGAAUACGUUCCCGGGUCUUGUACACACCGCCCGUCACACCAUGAGAGUUUGUAACACCCAAAGCCGGUGGGGUAACCUUCGGGAGCCAGCCGUCUAAGGUGGGACAGAUGAUUAGGGUGAAGUCGUAACAAGUGCCAUGG